This 29-nucleotide non-coding RNA is filed under the name Mus musculus (house mouse). The record is from RNAcentral. Lineage: Eukaryota; Metazoa; Chordata; Mammalia; Rodentia; Muridae.
UGAAAGUGCACCGAUUAUUGGAGUCCGUG